CCUACGGGUGGCAGCAGUGAGGAAUAUUGGUCAAUGGACGAGAUUCUGAACCAGCCAAGUCGCGUGAAGGAUGACUGCCCUAUGGGUUGUAAACUUCUUUUAUAUGGGAGUAAAAUGUUCCACGUGUGGGAUUUUGUAUGUACCAUAUGAAUAAGGAUCGGCUAACUCCGUGCCAGCAGCCGCGGUAAUACGGAGGAUCCGAGCGUUAUCCGGAUUUAUUGGGUUUAAAGGGAGCGUAGGUGGUUUUAUAAGUCAGUUGUGAAAGACUGCGGCUCAACCGUAAAAUUGCAGUUGAGACUGGCAGACUAGAGAUCAGUAGAGGUAGGCGGAAUGCGUGGUGUAGCGGUGAAAUGCAUAGAUAUCACAAAGAACACCGAUUGCGAAGGCAGCUCACUGGACUGGAACUGACACUGAUGCACGAAAGUGUGGGGAUCGAACAGGAUUAGAUACCCGAGUAGUC
This 460-nucleotide ribosomal RNA is filed under the name uncultured bacterium. RNAcentral describes it as "partial 16S ribosomal RNA". It matches the Rfam family "Bacterial small subunit ribosomal RNA", at positions 338 to 795 of the family's 1533-position model. The record is from RNAcentral.